RNAcentral lists this ribosomal RNA (482 nucleotides) under uncultured bacterium. Its description in RNAcentral is "partial 16S ribosomal RNA". It matches the Rfam family "Bacterial small subunit ribosomal RNA", at positions 28 to 507 of the family's 1533-position model. The record is from RNAcentral.
GACGAACGCUGGCGGCGUGCUUAACACAUGCAAGUCGAACGCUGAAGCUCAGCUUUUGUUGGGUGGAUGAGUGGCGAACGGGUGAGUAACACGUGAGUAACCUGCCCCCUUCUUUGGGAUAACGCCCGGAAACGGGUGCUAAUACUGGAUAUUCACUGGUCUUCGCAUGGGGGUUGGUGGAAAGGGUUUUUCUGGUGGGGGAUGGGCUCGCGGCCUAUCAGCUUGUUGGUGGGGUGAUGGCCUACCAAGGCUUUGACGGGUAGCCGGCCUGAGAGGGUGACCGGUCACAGUGGGACUGAGAUACGGCCAGACUACUACGGGAGGCAGCAGUGGGGAAUAAUGCACAAUGGGCGCAAGCCUGAUGCAGCGACGCCGCGUGAGGGAUGGAGGCCUUCGGGUUGUGAACCUCUUUCGCUCAUGGUCAAGCCGCAACAAUGGUUGUGGUGAGGGUAGUGGGUAAAGAAGCGCCGGCUAACUACGUG